Long non-coding RNA from Carlito syrichta (Philippine tarsier), 832 nucleotides. RefSeq lists it as uncharacterized. The transcript has 3 exons. The record is from RefSeq and is a predicted model, not a curated record. NCBI's taxonomy places the organism in Eukaryota, Metazoa, Chordata, Mammalia, Primates, Tarsiidae.
CUCAAAUGGAGAAUUCUUUGAUGGUGACUGAAGUGUAAACAUAUAGCCACUUGACACCUGCUUCAAAUCACCAGUCACGUUUUCUUGUUGGAAAGAUACUCAUCGGAGAAUCACCGUGGGCAAAAAUGGAAGCAAAUCAAGAUAUUAAGAACACCCCACUGGCCGGCAGUCCCCCAAGCUUCAGCAGAGGGCAUUCCAGACAGUGCCUUUUAGCCAGAAACCAGAAGAUCCAGCCCGCCCUCCGUGUCUCGGCUGCUCCUUAAGUCACUGCAACCCCUCCAAAUUAAUGUAGAGGCUGUCUGUUGUCAGUACAUUUCUUGGGGAGUGAAAGGGGACUCACACCUGGAGGUACAGACUGUUGGUUGACGGCACUCACAGACCUGAGCUAGGAUGGGGAAGGAGCAAAGCCUCUGGGCACUGGCUCUGUGUGAAAAUGGCCCAGUAAUUAUCCUGGGAUUCAUCGUAUUGUCUUUUGUGUUCCAUAAGUUGAAUGACUAUGCCGUUUUUCCAAAAAUUUAUGUCUGACCUGAGAAUAAGUAUGUCAUGGUUUUCCCAGUGUUAAGACACUGAUGUGACUGUAGACAUGACAUUUGAUAUAGUGUCUGUGACACAUUUUCGUAUGUAUGAGCCCACAAUAGAUAUGUCUUUGUCUUGAGUAGUGUCCAUCUGAAUUGAAAAUGUGCCAACUGUUUUUUAACAUCAUCAACAGACUUCUUAAUUAAGCUGCCAGUACAUACUGCCAAUAGCAGUGUGUGCCCGUUGAGAAAUGAAUUGUAUAAGUGCUGUGUCCUUAAGAAAUAAACAGUGUUGCUCCUUAUAGACUGGAUUUAAA